CGCCGAACCUCGUCCGAGUGGCCUCAUCACGGCCUCCUCAUGAUCUCCUCAUGACCUCCUCAUGACGUGUCCCUAAUGGAACGGGAAGUGAAGAUGAGGUUCUCGCCAUAUUGGAAGGGUGACCUCGUAUGCCGGGUCUUAUACACGCGGCCAAUAAUUUUCUGAUAUUCAGAUUAUCUUUUGAUUGGGCGGAGCUUCCUGCAGAUAUCUGAAUAUCUUUGUGUUGAGGAAGGAAAAAAGAAGAAGAAAAGGAGGAGAGUGAAGCAGCAGCGGCGCAAGGAUAUGAGUUCCAUUUUCAGUCAAUCAAAAUAUUGGAAAAUUUGUGAAUGGGAAUAUCAAACUUGAAACAUCAGCAGUAAAUACAAUGCUCUUGUAAUCGAACUUGGGCCGUAAGGAAGGGAAACGUCGCGAGUUCGCCCUUAUACAGCGCAAUCGGAGGGGCAACGGCGGCGCCCAUGACGGAGGGGGGCGGGAUGAUGUCGCCCGGGUCGCCCCUGUCACGGAGGCGGGUAGGACCGUGCCCGGCGCCCUUUACCAUCAGCGGAGCCUCGGACACCAGUCGCUCCUGCGCCUCAGUCGACGCCCUCUGCAGUCCCACGACCAUCGAGUCCUUUCUCAGCGAGUCCCCCUUCACGCUCUCGCAGGCGAGGAGCUGGGGAGACCUGAUAGGGAAUCCCAGACGAGGAUGCAAGUCGAGGGAGAGGUUCUGCUCCAGGUACUUCCUGAUGGGCAAAUCGCAGACGAGCGGCACGAGCGAGAGCGAAGGGAACAGCGACGACGCCUCCAGACAAGACUCCGUCGAGGAGAAGUACGAGCGGAGGGGAAGCAGCGGGAGCGUCCUGUCCACAUGCCACGCGGAGCCCCAGCAGAAGUCCUUCCUCUCCUUCGGGAAACCGCAGUACCACUUCGCGGAGAAGAGCGAUGGCGUCGAGACGGUGGAGCUGGGCCUCCUCUCGGACCAGCCCAACGUCCACCUCAACAGAGACAAGAACGUGUCCAACUACGGCACCAUCUCCAACCUGAUCCUCGCGCCCCGAGACGCCCUGAACGGCGUGCAGACCGAUGAGCCGAAGGAGAAGCCUUUCCUGAACUCGGCGAUGCGCCAGCGGUCCAUCCCCUUCAUCGUCACGCAGAACCUGAGCUCCCCGAAGCCGUUCCUGAAGGCGGGAGCGAGGCAGUCCUCCCGCUGCAGUCUCAACGUCCCAAACGGAUCCAAAGGAUUCCUCUCGUCGAGGACCAGACUCGACGCCAAGGGAUUUCUCGAGUCCUUAGGAGGAGGACGUCGAGCAAGCCAAGGCCUGUCUCACCUGAGGGUUCCUGGAGGGACGCACGGCUCGGAGAGUAGGAAGGGCUCCUUUCUCUCGGCCAUGAACUCCUCCAUAUUAGACAGGAUGUCAAUCGCGUCCUUCAAGUCCUCCUGCAAGUCGCUCUCGAGAUCGGAGGAGAUGAAGAACAAGAUUAUACAAAAUUUUAACACAGUCCUAUCCCUCGGUGCCGACGUCCUUCCGGAAUAUAAACUCCAGUCGCCGCGGAUACACAAAUGGACGAUCCUGCACUAUUCUCCGUUCAAGGCGGUGUGGGACUGGAUCAUUCUUCUUCUGGUCAUCUACACGGCUAUCUUCACGCCCUACGUGGCCGCCUUCCUUCUCAACGAGCAGGAGGAACGCAGAAAGAAUCACCAGAACCAAUACGAUAAUCCUAUUGUUAUUAUAGACCUUAUUGUUGACAUCAUGUUCAUGGUUGACAUUGUGAUCAACUUCCGUACGACUUACGUCAACCACAACGACGAGGUGGUCUCUCAUCCGGGGAAGAUCGCCCUGCACUACCUGCGGGGAUGGUUCCUCAUCGACGUUGUGGCUGCGAUUCCCUUCGACCUCCUGCUGGUCAAUCCGGAUCCUCACACUUCUACUCCAACAGCAGAAAGAGAUUUAGAGCAGGAGGCAGAUGAUGAAAAGACCACAACCCUCAUCGGUCUGCUGAAGACGGCGAGGCUCCUCCGUUUGGUCAGAGUUGCACGGAAGAUCGACAGAUACUCUGAAUAUGGCGCGGCUGUCCUGCUCCUGCUCAUGGCGACCUUUGCGCUCAUCGCCCACUGGCUCGCGUGUAUUUGGUAUGCCAUUGGUAACGCUGAGCGGCCAGGGCUCCUCCACAAGAUCGGCUGGCUGGACCACCUCGCCAACGCGACGCACCAGUACUACUACAGUAAUAGUACGGGCGGACCGACGCUGAGGGCAAAGUACGUGACUGCGCUGUACUUCACGUUCAGUAGUCUUACGUCUGUGGGCUUCGGGAACGUGGCGCCAAAUACAGAUGCCGAGAAGAUAUUCACCAUUCUUGUUAUGCUGAUCGGCUCUCUCAUGUACGCCAGUAUCUUUGGAAACGUUUCGGCUAUUAUCCAGCGGCUCUAUGCGGGAACAGCACGGUACCACACGCAGCUGAUGCGGGUAAAGGAAUUCAUCCGCUUCCACCAAAUUCCCAAUCCGCUCAGACAAAAGUUAGAGGAAUAUUUUCAGCACGCUUGGACCUACACAAAUGGCAUCGACAUGAACUUGGUGCUGAAGGGCUUCCCAGAUUGCCUACAGGCCGACAUCUGCCUGCACCUCAACCGCCUCCUUGUUGAGUCCUGUUCUGCCUUCGAGGGGGCCAGUCCUGGAUGCCUACGAGCACUUAGCAUGAAGUUCAAAACUACACAUGCUCCACCGGGGGACACUUUGGUCCAUCGGGGUGAUGUCCUUACCUCCAUGUACUUCAUUUCAAGGGGUUCCAUCGAGAUCCUCAAAGACGAUGUUGUUAUGGCAAUCUUAGGUAAAGAUGAUAUAUUUGGCGAGAAUCCUUGCAUCUACCCAACGAUAGGGAAGUCGUCCUGCAACGUCAGAGCGCUUACGUACUGUGACCUUCAUCAAAUCAUGAGAGAUGAUAUCUUGGAUGUCCUCGACUUGUAUCCAGAAUUUGCGGACGAUUUCUCCCGCAAUUUGGAGAUUACGUUCAAUUUGAGAGACGAGGAAGCACAAGGCGUCGACCCACUGCUCCUACACAAGAAGUGCCGUCUGUCCCGGUCUCGCAGCCACUCGCAGGACACCGAGGACCCGAGACGCACCGCCUUCAGACCUCCGCGACACCGAAGGAGGCGCUACGUACAGCCUGGUUCGAGCGGAGAGGAGAGUGACUCUGAUGACAAGCACCUUGAGUCUGGGCGAGGUGUUGGUGAAUUCUCACCUGACAAAAUAGGGCCAGACGGGAGUCCAAUAAACCAACAUUUCGACCAUAAACAACGUUCAGGAACCCUCAACUCCAUAACUGUUGCAGGUAGUACCAGUCCUGAGCGACGUCAUCACCAUGCCCGUCACUCCAGUUUGACCUUACCUGUUGAGGGUCACCCCAACACCGCCCAAACACAUGCCCGUGAUGUCGUAGAGGUCAACAGCCGCCUAGAUGCGCUCACCAGGAGAGGAUGAAGAAGACGAUGAUCAAGACUUUAAAGAUGAUGUUCUUCGCCUAUAUCUUAGAAUGGACCAGUUUAGCAGACAAAUGCAACAUCUUGAGGCACGGGUGACUUCAGAUAUUGCUCAGAUCCUGCUUCUCCUU
Molecule: unclassified non-coding RNA, 3585 nt
Filed under: Penaeus chinensis
Lineage: Eukaryota; Metazoa; Arthropoda; Malacostraca; Decapoda; Penaeidae
Description: potassium voltage-gated channel unc-103-like, transcript variant X2
Source: RNAcentral